This 1080-nucleotide long non-coding RNA is filed under the name Piliocolobus tephrosceles (Ugandan red Colobus). RNAcentral's name for it is "lncRNA (ENSPTEG00000004436.1)". The record is from RNAcentral. Lineage: Eukaryota; Metazoa; Chordata; Mammalia; Primates; Cercopithecidae.
AUGGGGAUAAAAAAAAAAGACAGAAUAGAAGGAUUGGACAAUAAGCAUAAGGAUUAUAUUGGUUUUACAGAUUACGUACCUAACCAAAGUGAAUUAAGUUUUUAUGAGAAAGAAAAACAGAAUAAUACAGCUAACAUAACACAAUCAAAGAAAUUAAAUAACAUAACAAACGAAACAAAUGCACAAAAUAUAUUUAAUAUGGGUUCGAACAUGGGAUUAUAUGUAAACACAAAUGUAGUAGGUAAAUCUGAAAAAAAAAUAAAUGAUGAAAACAAUAAGUUAAAUAAUAUGGUGACUUUGACGGAAACAGAAAAAGUGAAUAACUCCAAUUGGAAUGAUAAUAAUAAUAAUAAUAAUAAUAAUAAUAGUAAUAGUAAUAAUAAUAAUAAUAAUAAUAAUAAUAAUAAUAAUAAUAAUAGUAAUAGUAAUAAUAAUAAUAAUAAUAAUAAUAGUUUUUUAAAUUCAAAAAACAUAAAUGAUUUAAAAUUAAUUAAAUAUCUGAAUAAUGACGAACAAGUGAGUAUUUACAAUAAAUGUAUUGAAAAAAAUGAAACUUUAUUGAGCUUUAAAAAUUGUAUAAAUAUAGAAAAGGAUGCAAAUAAUGUAGAUGAUAAUGUUAUAGUUAGUGAUGUCAUUCACGAUAUCAGUAGAAGUAACAACAAUGUAAGUAAUAGUAGUAGUAGUAAUAAUAAUAAUUUGCAAAUAAACACAAAUAUAAAAAAAGAAACUGAUAUAAAAAUUGUAAGCAAAAGCAAUAUAAACGAAACGGACAAAUUUUUUAAUGAACAGAUUUACAAAAUGGAUACUAAUCCUACUACUGCAAUUUUCACCCCUACUGAUAAUACAAAUGUAAAAAAUAGUAAAAGCCGUAAAAAUGAUAAAAGCGAUAAAAUCGAUAAAAGCGAUAAAAUCGAUAAAAUCGAUAAAAUCGAUAAAAUCGAUAAAAUCGAUAAAAGUGAUAAAAGUGAUAAAAACGAUAAAAGCGAUAAAAGCGAUAAAAGCGAUAAAAGUGAUAAAAGUGAUAAAAUCGAUAAAAACGAUAAAAGCGAUAAAAACGAUAAAAGCGAUAAAAACGACAAA